GCAGAUUUAAGAGCUUACAAAAUUAGACCUAAACACACAAAAUUAUCACAAAAAAAGAAAAAUCAUCAAAACACCAAAAAGUUACAAACCGCACUCAUAACCUCACAUAAUACACUUAUCCUAACCCACUCACCACCUCAAAUCACCAUCAUUUCGCUCACACUUAACCUCGCAAGUUACCCUCCAAACCUCACUUACUACUCCCAUCCUCAUUACUCUUAAGCUCUCAAACACACCCGACCACUCGACCUCACAGAGUCACCAACAUCAACAGUACAACAUCUUCAAGCUUCCGCGACCAACACCAUUUGAGUCAUCUUGCAAGAAGAGGAAACCACAAAGUUAGUACGACUUAAAGGGAGCCAAAACCAUCUGAAAAGUAAAAGGUACACAAAACAUAAACUAUCAAAGAAUUCACUUUAUUAUUCUAAUUACGCACCAUUUCAUCAUCAUUAUCAUUAUAAGCAUGCUUUGAUUAGUAGUUGUCAAAAGCACUACUAACCUUGACCCUAUCCCUUUUGAUGUUGGCUUGGUAUUUUGUGAUGUUUACACUUAAAUAACUUCACAUGUGAUGAAAAUGAGUUUGCUAGCUAUAAUGAACGAAUGCUAGGACAGACUUAAUAAUGGAUUGAGCUAAGAAAGCCGAAUAGAGAAUGAACAAGUUGUAGAAACCUAGAGAACUCUAAUCUGCAUUGCACUUUGAAUACCAAACCGAGCGAGACACAAAACUAGCACAAAAUCAUCCAUCAACGUCAUCUCAAAAUCACUGCAAAAAACUUAGCCAAGAUCAAACCAAAAAUCAGCCGUUACCAUCACAAAGCCAUCAAAGGAUCAAUCGCCAUCACACAUAUGAUACACCAAAACUCAGCCCCUACUCUAUUACACAAGACCGCCAUAAACUCAGUGACAACCGCCACAUAAAUCACCAAAGAUCAGCUGACAUCAAACAAUCUCAACCAAGCAACCAAUUCAUGCUUUCAACUACACUAGAUCAAUUCCAUGACAGUAAACUCAGUUAGACUUCCUUGGAUACAAGUUUCCUAAUAUAAACACACUCAUAUCAAGUAAGCAAUGUAAGGAACUAGGAAAUACGAGUCUAAAAAUGCGGAACGCAUAGGGUUGAAUAAUCAAUGGUCAUACUAAUAAAGUUUCUGGGUUUAUGGAAUAACAAAGUAAAGCAAGGGUUUGGUUCUAGUGUGGUUAGUUCUUCACUUAAUUGUGACAGCCUUCUCAGUGUCGAGCAACCAUUAGCCUGCCUAGUUACGUUAAGUCCGUCCCUCCCAUCUUGUGAAUGAAACCAAAGCCUACAAGCUUCAAACAAGCAUUGGUUAGAAGGUUAAGUUUUAUUUAAAAGACCAGGGUAUUACACCUUCAUCUCUAUAUUACUACAUAGAAAUUAAUAGAAUCUCGGAGAGGAGGAGAAACCAAAUCCGAACCUGAAUGUGAUGGAGUUUGAACUGAGUAUUUUCAUUUCACUCUCCCGACGAAUCGACCCCUAAAACUCCCAAGCCACCAUAAUGCUUAUACAUUAGCUUCAAACACCAAACAACCCAACAACCGGCAUCAUUACCAUAAGCUCGACAAGUACUAAGUCCUACUCAGACCAAUCACGCGGCAAAAACACUAAGACAGAAAUCAUGGAUGCUGAAUCGUUAC
RNAcentral lists this long non-coding RNA (1656 nucleotides) under Linum usitatissimum (flax). RNAcentral describes it as "long non-coding RNA (LUSI_LNC004050)". The record is from RNAcentral. Lineage: Eukaryota; Viridiplantae; Streptophyta; Magnoliopsida; Malpighiales; Linaceae.